CCUACGGGAGGCAGCAGUAGGGAAUCUUCCACAAUGGGCGAAAGCCUGAUGGAGCAACGCCGCGGGGGUGAAGAAGGUCUUCGGAUCGUAAAACCCUGUUGUUAGAGAAGAAAGUGCGUGAGAGUAACUGUUCACGUGUCGACGGUAUCUAACCAGAAAGCCACGGCUAACUACGUGCCAGCAGCCGCGGUAAUACGUAGGUGGCAAGCGUUAUCCGGCUUUCUUGGGCGUAAAGGGAACGCAGGCGGUCUUUUAAGUCUGAUGUGAAAGCCUUCGGCUUAACCGGAGUAGUGCAUUGGAAACUGGGAGACUUGAGUGCAGCAGAGGAGAGUGGAACUCCCUGUGUAGCGGUGAACUGCGUAGAUAUAUGGAAGAACACCAGUGGCGAACGCGGCUCUCUGGUCUGUAACUGACGCUGAGGUUCCAAAGCGUGGGUAGCAAACAGGAUUAGAUACCCCAGUAGUC
Molecule: ribosomal RNA, 465 nt
Filed under: uncultured bacterium
Lineage: Bacteria
Description: partial 16S ribosomal RNA
Rfam family: Bacterial small subunit ribosomal RNA
Source: RNAcentral